This 774-nucleotide ribosomal RNA is filed under the name uncultured Neocallimastigales. RNAcentral's name for it is "partial large subunit ribosomal RNA". It matches the Rfam family "Eukaryotic large subunit ribosomal RNA", at positions 22 to 646 of the family's 3401-position model. Lineage: Eukaryota; Fungi; Neocallimastigomycota; Neocallimastigomycetes; Neocallimastigales. The record is from RNAcentral.
GUACACGCUGUGACUAGCAUAUCAAUAAGCGGAGGAAAAGAAACUAACAAGGAUUCCCCUAGUAACGGCGAGUGAAGCGGGAGGAGCUCAAAUUUGAAAUCUUAAAGGGUUUCCCUUUACGAAUUGUAGUUUAAAGAAGUGUUUUCUGUUGAGGUUUUGGUAAAAGUUCUUUGGAAUAGGACAUCAUAGAGGGUGAGAAUCCCGUAUUUGACCUUUACUUUCAACUUUGUGAUACACUUUCAAAGAGUCGGAUUGUUUGGGAAUGCAGUCCAAAAUGGGUGGUAAAUUUCAUCUAAAGCUAAAUAUUGGCGAGAGACCGAUAGCGAACAAGUACCGUGAGGGAAAGAUGAAAAGAACUUUGAAAAGAGAGUUAAACGGUACGUGAAAUUGUCAAAAGGGAAGCGUUUGACACCAGUGUUGUUUUUCUGAAAAUCAAUUAAAGAACUGUUUAUGCUAAGUUGUUUAGACUUUAUCAGCUAUCUGUUUAGUUUUGAGCUUUUCUUUAAUGCACUUUUCAGUUAACAAGUCAACAUCAAUUUCUUUUGCUGUAAAAAAGCUUGAGGAAGGUGGCUUGAGAUUCGUCUUAAGUGUUUAUAGCCUCUUGCCUAUGCAGUCGGAGAGAUUGAGGUCUGCAGCGUAGAUCCUUCGGGGCUAAAUGCAUUUGUGCUAAGUUAUAGCAUUUUAUAGACAACUUGUUGACUAUGAUUUGUCUUGUAGCUUACUCGCUUAUGUUAUUUUACCUACGCUUAGGAUGUUGACGAGACUGUCGAUCUC